UGAAUGACCUGGCAGGGGAAAUACCAUGAUCACCACGGUGGUUUUCCUAGGGGCAGGGGAUAAUCACAUUUCUGGCACAGGGGAGUAGUUGUGGGAAGAUCUUGGCUUUAUGCCCACUUUAUGGAAAAGGAAGACUGCUCUCUAGCUUGCUCCUG
This 155-nucleotide small nuclear RNA is filed under the name Crocodylus porosus (Australian saltwater crocodile). RNAcentral describes it as "U1 spliceosomal RNA (ENSCPRG00005016477.1)". It matches the Rfam family "U1 spliceosomal RNA". Rfam says of the family: U1 is a small nuclear RNA (snRNA) component of the spliceosome (involved in pre-mRNA splicing). Its 5' end forms complementary base pairs with the 5' splice junction, thus defining the 5' donor site of an intron. There are significant differences in sequence and secondary structure between metazoan and yeast U1 snRNAs, the latter being much longer (568 nucleotides as compared to 164 nucleotides in human). The record is from RNAcentral. Lineage: Eukaryota; Metazoa; Chordata; Crocodylia; Crocodylidae.